RNAcentral lists this unclassified non-coding RNA (294 nucleotides) under Hevea brasiliensis (rubber tree). The record is from RNAcentral. Lineage: Eukaryota; Viridiplantae; Streptophyta; Magnoliopsida; Malpighiales; Euphorbiaceae.
GGACAUUUUAUUUCCAACCCAUUGCUUCCUGGUCUCAUUCCAAAGAAGUAGUCCAGAGUUUACAAAGUCUGUACUGCUCCCAAUAUUGCUGUGAGAAUUUUGUGACUGGGCUGGUGGCAUGCUUCUCUGGGACCAAACUGUACUGUUGUCCAUUUCACAUGUGCUAGAGCUCGGGCAAUUUUCUGGUAAGCAUUGUUUCUUUGCUUCUUGGUCUUUAACUCUCAGACCUUUAGACGGCCCAUCCAUUGCAUUACCUAGUGCAGAUGCAGUGUAGCAUCCAUGACAGCUUCUUCU